AGCCUGCCCAUUGAUUUUUAGAAUUAAAAGGCUGCGGUAUUUUAACUGUACUAAGGUAGCAUAAUCAUUUGUCUUUUAAUUGAAGGCUAGUAUGAAUGGUUUAAUGAAAAAUUAACUUUCUUUAUUUAAUUUAAUUGAAUUUAAUUUUUAAGUUAAAAAGCUUAAAUUUUUAUAUAGGACGAGAAGACCCUUUAGAAGUUUACUUUUUUUAUUAAAAAAUUUUUUUUGUUUUUAAAUAUAUUCUUUUUGAAUAAAAAGUUUUGUUGGGGUGACAGUAAAAUUUAAUUAACUUUUAUUAUUUAUUUCAUUAAUAUAUGUUUUAUUGAUCCAAAAUUUUUGAUUAUAAGAUUAACUUACUUUAGGGAUAACAGCGAAAUUUUUUU
Molecule: ribosomal RNA, 383 nt
Filed under: Microvelia longipes
Lineage: Eukaryota; Metazoa; Arthropoda; Insecta; Hemiptera; Veliidae
Description: partial 16S ribosomal RNA
Source: RNAcentral